RNAcentral lists this unclassified non-coding RNA (375 nucleotides) under soil metagenome. Its description in RNAcentral is "partial contains internal transcribed spacer 2 and large subunit ribosomal RNA". The stretch from base 1 to 120 matches the Rfam family "5.8S ribosomal RNA", at positions 35 to 154 of the family's 154-position model. The record is from RNAcentral.
GAUGAAGAACGCAGCGAAAUGUGAUAAUUAAUGUGAAUUGCAGAAUUCCGUGAAUCAUCGAGUCUUUGAACGCACAUUGCGCCUCAUGGCAUUCUGUGAGGCAUGCCCAUCUCAGCGUUAGAAAAUAUUCUCAAAUUUUAGUUUUGUGCUAAAAUUUGGAUCAUGUCAAAGAAGCUAUUGCUAUUAUUGUGAUCGCUCUUUGGAAAUUGAUAGGUCUUUGAGUUGCUACUCAUAGAACGUGAUGAAUCUUUCUUCGUUCUAUUGUAAUUCACUCUGGUAGUCCUAAAACUUGUAUGCCUGUGGCAUAUCUUGUAAUUUGACCUGAGAUUGGGUAGGGAUACCCGCUGAACUUAAGCAUAUCAAUAAGCGGAGGGA